UUUACACAGACAGUGUUUUA
RNAcentral lists this non-coding RNA (20 nucleotides) under Mus musculus (house mouse). Lineage: Eukaryota; Metazoa; Chordata; Mammalia; Rodentia; Muridae. The record is from RNAcentral.